ACUCCUGCGGGAGGCAGCAGUGGGGAAUUUUGGACAAUGGGCGAAAGCCUGAUCCAGCCAUGCCGCGUGCAGGAUGAAGGCCUUCGGGUUGUAAACUGCUUUUGUACGGAACGAAACGGCCUUUUCUAAUAAAGAGGGCUAAUGACGGUACCGUAAGAAUAAGCACCGGCUAACUACGUGCCAGCAGCCGCGGUAAUACGUAGGGUGCAAGCGUUAAUCGGAAUUACUGGGCGUAAAGCGUGCGCAGGCGGUUAUGUAAGACAGUUGUGAAAUCCCCGGGCUCAACCUGGGAACUGCAUCUGUGACUGCAUAGCUAGAGUACGGUAGAGGGGGAUGGAAUUCCGCGUGUAGCAGUGAAAUGCGUAGAUAUGCGGAGGAACACCGAUGGCGAAGGCAAUCCCCUGGACCUGUACUGACGCUCAUGCACGAAAGCGUGGGGAGCAAACAGGAUUAGAAACCCUUGUAGUCCCAUG
This 473-nucleotide ribosomal RNA is filed under the name uncultured organism. Its description in RNAcentral is "partial 16S ribosomal RNA". It matches the Rfam family "Bacterial small subunit ribosomal RNA", at positions 335 to 799 of the family's 1533-position model. The record is from RNAcentral.